UAUUUUCAUCAAAAUAAUCUUCAUUCACCCCGCAAUCAAUGCUUAUGGAGCCUUUGAAUUGGACAUCAAAACAGUAUUAGAUAUGCCAAAUAACAUACAUAAACCCAUUUCUCAACUAUUUUUUAUUACAACUGAUAAACUCAAGACUUACAGGUCUAGAGACAGUUUAGUACUACUAGGUUAAAACUAAUUGAUUGAUAAAUAAACUCUUCAGUCAUGAUUUUAAUGAAGCAGUAGAUUAUUUAACUCAUAAAAAAUAAUAAUUAAUUGGGUAACAAAAUUAACUAAGAAAGUGGAUUGGAUCUGUAACUUCCCAGGCACAACGGCCUAAAUAAAAUGGUGAUAACACCCUUACUAGGCCUAGGAUAUACAAACCUUUUGACAUUUUUAUAUCCAACUGAUGUGGAUAUGACAGGAUUUACCUGGGUUCCUGGCAGCGAGCUUUCUUCUUCCAGCGGGUUCA
Molecule: unclassified non-coding RNA, 463 nt
Filed under: Hevea brasiliensis (rubber tree)
Lineage: Eukaryota; Viridiplantae; Streptophyta; Magnoliopsida; Malpighiales; Euphorbiaceae
Source: RNAcentral